GCCUUGUGGUUCCUAGAGUCGGCUAAAAGUGCCGAGCUGUAGGUUUUAAUUGACGGGCGCAUACGAACUUCUGCGAUUUUAUGCAUGGAACCUGCAGCUACAGCAGCGCUCCAUAGCCCGGUUGCAGAUACACUU
Gambusia affinis (western mosquitofish) is the source of this 135-nucleotide small nucleolar RNA. NCBI's taxonomy places the organism in Eukaryota, Metazoa, Chordata, Actinopteri, Cyprinodontiformes, Poeciliidae. The record is from Ensembl.